Molecule: ribosomal RNA, 523 nt
Filed under: uncultured bacterium
Lineage: Bacteria
Description: bacterial SSU rRNA
Rfam family: Bacterial small subunit ribosomal RNA
Source: RNAcentral
UGGGGAAUCUUAGACAAUGGGCGCAAGCCUGAUCUAGCCAUGCCGCGUGUGUGAUGAAGGCCUUAGGGUCGUAAAGCACUUUCGCCAGGGAUGAUAAUGACAGUACCUGGUAAAGAAACCCCGGCUAACUCCGUGCCAGCAGCCGCGGUAAUACGGAGGGGGUUAGCGUUGUUCGGAAUUACUGGGCGUAAAGCGUACGUAGGCGGAUCAGAAAGUAGGGGGUGAAAUCCCGAGGCUCAACCUCGGAACUGCCUCCUAAACUCCUGGUCUUGAGUUCGAGAGAGGUGAGUGGAAUUCCAAGUGUAGAGGUGAAAUUCGUAGAUAUUUGGAGGAACACCAGUGGCGAAGGCGGCUCACUGGCUCGAUACUGACGCUGAGGUACGAAAGUGUGGGGAGCAAACAGGAUUAGAUACCCUGGUAGUCCACACCGUAAACGAUGAAUGCCAGUCGUCGGGCAGUAUACUGUUCGGUGACACACCUAACGGAUUAAGCAUUCCGCCUGGGGAGUACGGUCGCAAGAUUA